This 932-nucleotide ribosomal RNA is filed under the name Halomonas elongata. RNAcentral describes it as "bacterial SSU rRNA". It matches the Rfam family "Bacterial small subunit ribosomal RNA", at positions 56 to 982 of the family's 1533-position model. The record is from RNAcentral. Lineage: Bacteria; Pseudomonadati; Pseudomonadota; Gammaproteobacteria; Oceanospirillales; Halomonadaceae.
UGCAGUCGAGCGGAACGAUCCUAGCUUGCUAGGAGGCGUCGAGCGGCGGACGGGUGAGUAAUGCAUAGGAAUCUGCCCGGUAGUGGGGGAUAACUUGAGGAAACUCAAGCUAAUACCGCAUACGCCCUACGGGGGAAAGCAGGGGCUCUUCGGACCUUGCGCUAUCGGAUGAGCUUAUGUCGGAUUAGCUGGUUGGUGAGGUAACGGCUCACCAAGGCGACGAUCCGUAGCUGGUCUGAGAGGAUGAUCAGCCACAUCGGGACUGAGACACGGCCCGAACUCCUACGGGAGGCAGCAGUGGGGAAUAUUGGACAAUGGGGGCAACCCUGAUCCAGCCAUGCCGCGUGUGUGAAGAAGGCCCUCGGGUUGUAAAGCACUUUCAGCGAGGAAGAAUGCUUGUCGGUUAAUACCCGGCAAGGGAGACAUCACUCGCAGAAGAAGCACCGGCUAACUCCGUGCCAGCAGCCGCGGUAAUACGGAGGGUGCGAGCGUUAAUCGGAAUUACUGGGCGUAAAGCGUGCGUAGGCGGCUUGAUAAGCCGGUUGUGAAAGCCCCGGGCUCAACCUGGGAACGGCAUCCGGAACUGUUAGGCUAGAGUGCAGGAGAGGAAGGUAGAAUUCCCGGUGUAGCGGUGAAAUGCGUAGAGAUCGGGAGGAAUACCAGUGGCGAAGGCGGCCUUCUGGACUGACACUGACGCUGAGGUACGAAAGCGUGGGUAGCAAACAGGAUUAGAUACCCUGGUAGUCCACGCCGUAAACGAUGUCGACUAGCCGUUGGGGUCCUCGAGACCUUUGUGGCGCAGUUAACGCACUAAGUCGACCGCCUGGGGAGUACGGCCGCAAGGUUAAAACUCAAAUGAAUUGACGGGGGCCCGCACAAGCGGUGGAGCAUGUGGUUUAAUUCGAUGCAACGCGAGAACCUUACCUACCCUU